CCUAUCUGAUUGUAAAUGUUAAAAAAAAAAAAACAAAAAAACUGCCUCAUUUUGAGAAAAAAAAAAAAAUUGCUCUUUGCUGCCAUUCAAUGAGACCUGGACAGGCUGGAGAGAUAAGCGGAGAGGAACCAGAGUUGCUAGAGAAUUACCAAGCAGCCGACCAUGGAAACUCUCCACAGAAAAUAAUACUUGAAACAGUGCACUUCCUCAGAGCAGUUUACCACCAGAGCCUUCUCUAACGGCUGGUGGGUCAUUGCCUGUUUACCUUGGAUCUGGUCCAUGCCUGUAUUCUGAGUUUCCUGAUGGAGCUGCUUUGGGCCUCCCAGUAGGAAGAAAAGUUCCUGCUCCCUGGACGCUGCCACUGAUGUUUGUUCACCUGACUCCCCACCUGUACCCACUGUAGCUAUAUGUUACCACAUUUCAUCAGGUUCUUUCUCCUGAAACACUGCCAAAUGCCACCUCACCUUUAUAGCCUGAAAGGAAAGUCAGUAAACUUGCACCAAACCUGAUCUCGGCUUCCUGAGCCAAACUUUUGUAACCUGCUUAGAGGUCCUGAGCUGUGGCAGGAGCAUUUCAGCCUGAAGGAAGGAGGUGUUGGACACUACUCCAACCCAGGAAUCCCCUGGAUUCCCCCACUGCUGCAGGCCAGGAGGUGGGCUGUGCCUCCAAGCAUUAAUAACCCAAAGAACAGUUUUUACUCCAUUGUCUCUCUAAAAAUUGGUAUAAAUGAAAGCUACUCAAAAUAUGGAGGAAAAAAAAAUAGUAGCAAAGCUUAACUUUGUAGAAGUAUCACUUGAGGAUAAAUGCACCAAUAUUUGUGGGAUUCUCAGCCUCUGGGUCCUGGAGGUUAUGGCAAUGACAGGCAGCUGUCAAUUCAAGCACAGGGAAAUAAAAUACCUGAAAAAUAUCAAAGUCAAUAGGUUACCUGCAGGUAAUUUGGAGAUGGGAGGUUUGUCAUGUGUUUUAGAUGUUGCCUGUCAAGUUUUUAUGAGGCUCUCAAGGCCUAGCUUACAACUUUGUGCUUGCACAACCCAGUUGUGGUGGCAAAGGGCAGCCAUGGGGCUGGCCCUGGGUGCAGGAGGUGUAGAGAUAACCCUGCUUGGCAGGAACUGAGCAAGCAAGGGCACCUCUACCCAUAGGAAUGAGGUUUUCAACUGCUGAGACUUUAUUACAGUGGAAACAUGCAUUUUUUUGUAGGCUACUUUGGUACUGUCUUAUAAGAAAGGCCAAAACUCCAAGAAAUUUAGUGUUGGAUGUCACUUGCUUGUUUCUCCUUAUUAAAAAUAAGCUCCCUUCUCUACAAGAAGGAAUGCUAAAGCAUUGUCUCUGUGCCUGGCUGCCCUGAGGUAACAGGAACAAGCAUGAGAUAGCAGAUAACAGAUGUCAAAAUACAACUCACUUGAAACCCUCAGAGAAAUGUUGGUCUGUCAUUAGAGUGAUGCUAGACUGUGGCCAGUGGGGACCUGAAUGUUAAUUUUCCCCUCCCAGUGGUCUGUAUUAUUUUAAAUUUCCUCUAGCAAGCAUUCCAUUAAUGUGAUUCCCUCACACUACAUUUAGCUGAGAAAGUUCUAUGUCCUUUAUUAAAAAAUAAUUUUUC
This is a long non-coding RNA of Gallus gallus (chicken), 1597 nucleotides long. Lineage: Eukaryota; Metazoa; Chordata; Aves; Galliformes; Phasianidae. The record is from Ensembl.